GAUGAACGCUAGCGGCAGGCCUAACACAUGCAAGUCGAGGGAGAAGCCCUUUCGGGGGCAGAAACCGGCGCACGGGUGCGUAACGCGUAUGCAACCUACCUUUCACAGGGGGAUAGCCCGAAGAAAUCUGGAUUAAUACCCCAUAAUAUUAUUGGAUGGCAUCAUUUGAUAAUUAAAACUGCGGUGGUGAAAGAUGGGCAUGCGUCCUAUUAGCUAGUUGGAGUGGUAACGGCACCCCAAGGCUACGAUAGGUAGGGGUCCUGAGAGGGAGAUCCCCCACACUGGUACUGAGACAGGGACCAGACUCCUACGGGAGGCAGCAGUGAGGAAUAUUGGUCAAUGGUCGGAAGACUGAACCAGCCAUGCCGCGUGCAGGAAGAAUGCCUUAUGGGUUGUAAACUGCUUUUAUAUGGGAAGAAUAAGGCGUACGUGUACG
Molecule: ribosomal RNA, 436 nt
Filed under: Capnocytophaga gingivalis
Lineage: Bacteria; Pseudomonadati; Bacteroidota; Flavobacteriia; Flavobacteriales; Flavobacteriaceae
Description: bacterial SSU rRNA
Rfam family: Bacterial small subunit ribosomal RNA
Source: RNAcentral